AUGAACAUCCCCAGCAGCAGAUGGGGCCCUGAAGACAUGCAUGGCUGUUUCCCCUGUUGAUUGGGAUGGGAAUCUGGAGAAUGCGGAGCCCCUGAUACUGGAUGAAUUGUCUGUUAGACGAUGCUUUGCCAGCUCUAAAUCAGCAGCUGCAACACUGGAACAGAGACGUGAUGGACGCCGCGGUCUUGUGGGAGUUUGUGUCAGAGUCUAACAGAACAUUUUACAGUCAGAACACAGAAUCAUUCAACGCGGCACAUCCUGAGCUGCGAGGAAUGCUGUGAACAAGGGCUAGAGAGAUCUCCCGCUGAGAGCGGCUUUGGUUUAUGCUGAGUACAGCACGAGAGCAGAAAACAGACACCUAACAAGAGACUUGAGCCAUUAAAUGAAGUACUCAUCACCAUUGUUAGCCAGAAGAAAGCAAUUCCGCCGGCUGAUUAUCCAGCAAGUGGGCGAUGCAUUCAGAGUCCACCUGGAAAGAAUUGAGCGGAGAGAACGCUUUUCCAUGUUUGUAAUGGUGCUGCUGAGGACACAGGAAAUUUGCUAAAUAAAUAAA
Molecule: long non-coding RNA, 553 nt
Organism: Pseudophryne corroboree (corroboree frog)
Lineage: Eukaryota; Metazoa; Chordata; Amphibia; Anura; Myobatrachidae
Exons: 3
Source: RefSeq, a predicted model, not a curated record